RNAcentral lists this ribosomal RNA (304 nucleotides) under Salinivibrio kushneri. Its description in RNAcentral is "partial 16S ribosomal RNA". It matches the Rfam family "Bacterial small subunit ribosomal RNA", at positions 1 to 274 of the family's 1533-position model. Lineage: Bacteria; Pseudomonadati; Pseudomonadota; Gammaproteobacteria; Vibrionales; Vibrionaceae. The record is from RNAcentral.
AAAUUGAAGAGUUUGAUCAUGGCUCAGAUUGAACGCUGGCGGCAGGCCUAACACAUGCAAGUCGAGCGGAAACGGCAGCAUUGAAGCUUCGGUGGAUUUGCUGGACGUCGAGCGGCGGACGGGUGAGUAACGGCUGGGAACCUGCCCUGACGMGGGGGAUAACCGUUGGAAACGACGGCUAAUACCGCAUAAUGUCUYAGUUCAUUACGAGCUGGGACCAAAGGUGGCCUCUACAUGUAAGCUAUCGCGUUGGGAUGGGCCCAGUUAGGAUUAGCUAGUUGGUAAGGUAAUGGCUUACCAAGGC